This 74-nucleotide transfer RNA is filed under the name Salvia splendens (bonfire salvia). It matches the Rfam family "tRNA". Rfam says of the family: Transfer RNA (tRNA) molecules are approximately 80 nucleotides in length. Their secondary structure includes four short double-helical elements and three loops (D, anti-codon, and T loops). Further hydrogen bonds mediate the characteristic L-shaped molecular structure. tRNAs have two regions of fundamental functional importance: the anti-codon, which is responsible for specific mRNA codon recognition, and the 3' end, to which the tRNAs corresponding amino acid is attached (by aminoacyl-tRNA synthetases). tRNAs cope with the degeneracy of the genetic code in two manners: having more than one tRNA (with a specific anti-codon) for a particular amino acid; and 'wobble' base-pairing, i.e. permitting non-standard base-pairing at the 3rd anti-codon position. Lineage: Eukaryota; Viridiplantae; Streptophyta; Magnoliopsida; Lamiales; Lamiaceae. The record is from Rfam by way of RNAcentral.
GGUGUCGUGGUGUAGUUGGUUAUCACGUCAGUCUAACACACUGAGGUCCUCCGGUUCGAGUCCGGGCGACGCCA